RNAcentral lists this ribosomal RNA (466 nucleotides) under Vreelandella stevensii. Its description in RNAcentral is "partial 16S ribosomal RNA". It matches the Rfam family "Bacterial small subunit ribosomal RNA", at positions 338 to 795 of the family's 1533-position model. The record is from RNAcentral. Lineage: Bacteria; Pseudomonadati; Pseudomonadota; Gammaproteobacteria; Oceanospirillales; Halomonadaceae.
CCUACGGGAGGCAGCAGUGGGGAAUAUUGGACAAUGGGCGAAAGCCUGAUCCAGCCAUGCCGCGUGUGUGAAGAAGGCCUUCGGGUUGUAAAGCACUUUCAGUGGGGAAGAAAGCCUUGGGGCUAAUACCCUCGAGGAAGGACAUCACCCACAGAAGAAGCACCGGCUAACUCCGGUGCCAGCAGCCGCGGUAAUACGGAGGGUGCGAGCGUUAAUCGGAAUUACUGGGCGUAAAGCGCGCGUAGGCGGUCUGAUAAGCCGGUUGUGAAAGCCCCGGGCUCAACCUGGGAACGGCAUCCGGAACUGUCAGGCUAGAGUGCAGGAGAGGAAGGUAGAAUUCCCGGUGUAGCGGUGAAAUGCGUAGAGAUCGGGAGGAAUACCAGUGGCGAAGGCGGCCUUCUGGACUGACACUGACGCUGAGGUGCGAAAGCGUGGGUAGCAAACAGGAUUAGAUACCCCAGUAGUC